RNAcentral lists this ribosomal RNA (492 nucleotides) under uncultured bacterium. RNAcentral's name for it is "partial 16S ribosomal RNA". It matches the Rfam family "Bacterial small subunit ribosomal RNA", at positions 29 to 507 of the family's 1533-position model. The record is from RNAcentral.
AUUGAACGCUGGCGGCAUGCUUUACACAUGCAAGUCGAACGGUAACAGGCCUUCGGGUGCUGACGAGUGGCGAACGGGUGAGUAAUGCAUCGGAACGUACCCAGAGGUGGGGGAUAACGCAGCGAAAGCUGUGCUAAUACCGCAUGUGAUCUGAGGAUGAAAGCGGGGGACCGAGCAGCAAUGUUUGGCCUCGCGCCUUUGGAGCGGCCGAUGUCGGAUUAGCUAGUUGGUGGGGUAAAGGCCUACCAAGGCGACGAUCCGUAGCUGGUCUGAGAGGACGACAAGCCACACUGGGACUGAGACACGGCCCAGACUCCUACGGGAGGCAGCAGUGGGGAAUUUUGGACAAUGGGCGCGAGCCUGAUCCAGCAAUGCCGCGUGCGGGAAGAAGGCCUUCGGGUUGUAAACCGCUUUUGGCAGGAACGAAACGGUGUCCGCUAAUACCGGGCGCUAAUGACGGUACCUGCAGAAUAAGCACCGGCUAACUACGUG